AUGUACUCAUUGAAGGUUAACAAUUACUGCAAGCGGUUCAAGAAUGAGAACCAUCUUGGGAAUGCCACAGUAACGACCUUCUCACAUUAUGCAAGAUACUUGUCGAAGAGCUCAAGGGAAACAGUGAUCCGGAUCGAGGUAUUUGUAAUACUGGCUGCUGUUUUCUUACUGUUACUUGCUACCUUUGGUUCCUACCGUCGCCGGCACAAGAAGUUGUUCGUCCUGAAAGUUGUCUUUGGCGUGUGUGCCUUAUCCUCCUCACUGAUAACAUACAUAUUCGGUUCAAUGGAAUCUUCUGUGGCGAAGAGCAGCAUGUACCCCUUAUGGGCCAUAUCUCUCUUCAUCCUUUACGCUUCUACUGACUCUGUCGUGGCUUAUAACCUCGAUGACACCAGACAGAGCAUGAGAUACUUAUACCAGGCUGCACUCUUCUAUGCAUAUGUGGUGUUGCUUUUGUUCUCAGUAACGUCAAGUGGUGGCGCCUUUGAUGUUAGUACAUCGAUUGAUGGUACACGUCUGAAAGGUUUACUUACCUUCCCAGUUGCUUUUCUGCAUUUGAUUGCUGUGGCAAAAUCUUUGCACAGAGUAGCAGCAUGUCAGCUGGCAAGCCGCUCAUGGAGAUUGAAUAAAAUGGUUGCUGAUUACAUGUAUGAUGAGCACACCAAGGGUGAAUUUGUUCCAGCCACCAUGGAAGGUUGUCAUUACCUGGUUGACUGGCUCCUCAGCAGAUCCAAGCUUGAUGCUCAAUCAUAUGCGACAGAUGAUGAAGUCAUUGACAUUGAGAAGAUAUGGCGGUGCAAUGAUAAAUCACUAGGCCUAGAGCUAAAAUACACAUGCCUUUCCUUCUCCCUUUUUAAUCUGUUGAGAAGGCGCUGCUUCGGGUUUGCCUUUGGUGAAUGCAAAGUAAGGGCACAUGAUUUCGUCUUCAAGGGGCUGCUACCAGAGAAGGCCGCAGACUGCGACAGGAUUUUCAACGUGAUCGAGGUUGAGUUGGCCUUCCUGUAUGAUUUCUUCUUCACCAACAUGAAUCCCGAUAAACCUAUCGUACUGCCUAAAGAAGUAAAGGAGGCAAUUGUCCACGCCCUUAUACGUACUGAUGGCAACCUAACAAAUGGGAAAUCAUCAUUGGUGGACAAUAGAGCAGUGGACCUCCUACGAGCUUUCGAACAGGACAUACACGCAAAUAAAAAUUGCUCCCAGAGAAAGGGGAACCAGACACACCUUAUUAUGACUUGGCACGUAGCAACAUGGUACUGUGAGAUGGCUCUUUCCUCAGACGAGGAACAGGUGACGAGAAUAAAAAAUCUUAGCUCAGAUGAGGAAAAAGAACUCAGGUCCCAUCUCGAAGUCGCCACAAAACUAUCGAAAUACUGUGCAUACUUGGUGGUGUCUGCACCAAAUCUUCUUCCUGGCCACCAAUAUGAUACAGUGUGUGUGCUCGAAGCAGUUGCAGUGGAAGCAACCAAAUUCCUGGAAAAUUCGAACGACAAGUAUGAAACAAUGAGGAAUUUAGAAGAAUCAGAGGGUGUCACUCAGAGUGCAGACGGUGCCAUCUUUCAGAGUGGCGCCAAGCUGGGGAGGCAGCUCGUCGUGGAGAUAGAAGAUGUGACGCAGCGCUGGAAGGUGCUUGCUGAUUUCUGGGCAGAGAUGAUGUUGUAUGUUGCACCAUCAGAUAAUGUCAAGGGGCACAUGGAGGAGCUCGCGGAGGGUGGGGAGUUCAUCACGCACCUGUGGGCUUUGCUCACUCAUGCAGGCAUCCUUGGGAGGCAGGAAGAUCAUCAAGUUGGAAGCGUGUAA
Molecule: ribosomal RNA, 1797 nt
Filed under: Triticum aestivum (bread wheat)
Lineage: Eukaryota; Viridiplantae; Streptophyta; Magnoliopsida; Poales; Poaceae
Description: partial small subunit ribosomal RNA
Source: RNAcentral